UACGGAGGGUGCAAGCGUUAUCCGGAUUCACUGGGUUUAAAGGGUGCGUAGGUGGUCUGUUAAGUCAGCGGUGAAAGCCUGGAGCUCAACUCCAGAACUGCCAUUGAUACUGACGGACUUGAAUCAAGUUGAGGUGGAUGGAAUAUUACAUGUAGCGGUGAAAUGCUUAGAUAUGUAAUAGAACACCAAUUGCGAAGGCAGUUCACUAAGCUUGUAUUGACACUGAGGCACGAAAGCGUGGGGAUCAAACAGG
RNAcentral lists this ribosomal RNA (253 nucleotides) under uncultured bacterium. RNAcentral's name for it is "partial 16S ribosomal RNA". It matches the Rfam family "Bacterial small subunit ribosomal RNA", at positions 524 to 776 of the family's 1533-position model. The record is from RNAcentral.